CCUACGGGAGGCAGCAGUGAGGAAUAUUGGUCAAUGGACGAGAGUCUGAACCAGCCAAGUAGCGUGAAGGAUGACUGCCCUAAGGGUUGUAAACUUCUUUUAUAAAGGAAUAAAACGAGGCACGUGUGCCUUUUUGCAUGUACUUUAUGAAUAAGGAUCGGCUAACUCCGUGCCAGCAGCCGCGGUAAUACGGAGGAUCCGAGCGUUAUCCGGAUUUAUUGGGUUUAAAGGGAGCGUAGAUGGGUUGUUAAGUCAGUUGUGAAAGUUUGCGGCUCAACCGUAAAAUUGCAAUUGAUACUGGCAGUCGUGAGUACAGUUGAGGUAGGCGGAAUGCGUGGUGUAGCGGUGAAAUGCUUAGAUAUCACGAAGAACCCCGAUUGCGAAGGCAGCUUACUAAACUGUGACUGACAUUGAUGCUCGAAAGUGUGGGUAUCAAACAGGAUUAGAUACCCGUGUAGUC
RNAcentral lists this ribosomal RNA (460 nucleotides) under uncultured bacterium. Its description in RNAcentral is "partial 16S ribosomal RNA". It matches the Rfam family "Bacterial small subunit ribosomal RNA", at positions 338 to 795 of the family's 1533-position model. The record is from RNAcentral.